GAUGAGUUCCACAAGCUUUGCUGGUAAAUUCAAUCCCAAAUUGGUUUGUUAUGCUGGAAUGGUAGGAUCAGAAUCUUGGAUUAUUGAUACUGGAGCUUCAGAUUAUAUGACACCAAAUCCACAUUUGUUACAUAACCUUGCUUUCACUCACACACCAAUAUCCAUUUGUUUACCUAAUGGCCAAGUUACUGAAAUUAACCAAACAGGCACUGUUUACUUGCAUAAUAACCUUUCUCUAUACAGUGUGCUCUUAGUUCCUUCAUAAAUUGAAUUUACUUUUGGUUACCAAGCUUCUUAAAACCACAAAUUUACCCUUACUGUUUUACCCUUUCUGUUGGCUAUUUCAGGACCAGAAGACUAAAGCAGUGGUAGCCAUUGGGAAAGAGCAUGAAGGACUUUACAUUCUGGAUAAGUCUAGUUUUCUUUCAUCCACCAUUUAGUUUUAUCUUUCUAAAGUGAAACAUUUGCUUGAUACCCUUGCUUUGAACUCUGUAAAUACCAGCUUCUCUAAUGUGAAUAUUUAUAAAGAGAAUUUUCAGUUGUCCAAUUCUGCUCAAACUUUAGACUUUGCUAUACUUAGUGCUAGAUUAGGACAUUCAUCACUUCAGAAAUUACAAAACAUUACUCCCUUCAAACUUCACAUUGAUUGUCAUUAUAAAUGUCCUUUAUGUCCUUUAGCUAAACAAGCCAGAAUUCCUUUUCCUGAUAGUGAGAUAAAAACACAAUACCCUUUGGAAUUGUUACAUGUUGACCUAUGGGGCCCUUAUGCCACACCUUGUAUUUCUGGAGAUAGAUACUUUGUGACUAUUGUAGAUGACAAGUUAAGAGCCACUUCGACUUACAUGAUUAAACAUAAAGACCAAUGUAGCUAUGUUCUUACUAUGUUUCUCAAUUAUGUGGAAACCCAAUUCAAUGUCAAAGUGAGAAUAGUAAGGACAGAUAAUGGGAUGAAGUUUGUGAAUCAUCAAUGUUUACAAUUGUUUCAGUCUAGGGGGAUUAUUCAUCAAAAAAGUUGUCCAUAUACCCCUAAACAGAAUGGCAUAGUUGAGCGAAAACAUAGACAUCUCUUGGAUAUUGCUAGAGCUUUGAGAUUGCAAGCCCAUUUUACCAAAAAGAUUCUGGUCUGAGUGUAUUUUAACUGCUACAUACCUUAUUAACAGAUUGCGCACCAAAUUACUUUCUUGGAAAACUCCUUAUGAAUUGUUAUUUCACAAACCACCCACUUAUGACCAUUUAAGAGUGUUUGGUUGCCUCCAUUUUUGCUGUUAACCUUCACCUACAUAGAGACAAGUUUGAUGAUAGAUCACAUAAGUGUCUGUUUCUUGGGUAUCCACCUACACAAAAGGGCUAUAAAGUCAUGGAUUUGCAAACCAAUAAAGUGUUUGUAAGCAGGGAUGUAAUUUUCUUUGACACAAGUUUUCCUUUCAAUAAUACAACAUUAUCUUCUGUUGAGUCUUCCACACCAAUUCUUCCUUUUCCUAUUUCUUCACCUACAUCACACCAUACUGACACUCUCCUCUCUACUCUAGUUCCUGAACUUCAUUCUUGUGAAUCUUUCGACACCAAUAACUGAACCUUCUCAACCUACAUCAUUAACACCCCAAUUGUCUCUUUCUCUUGCUUCAGUCCUACCACCAUUAAGAAGAAGUACUAGACUUCAUCAGCAACCUUCAUGGUUGAAAGAUUUUGUUGUUGCCUCUCUCUCAUGCUACUGCCUCUGCGGCAGUCUUCUAUUCCUCACCAGGUACACCUUCUUUUAUUUUCUCACCUAGCCAUUAUGCCUUUGUUACUUCAGUAUCUAACAUUCAAGAACCUGUUAAUUAUCUUCAAGCAAUAACUGACAGCAAUUGGAUUGACGCUAUGAAUCAAGAAUUGUAGGCUUUGGAGAAAAAUGAUAUUUGGGAACUUUGUGAGUUACCUAAAAGGAAGAAGGCUAUUGGUUCAAAGUGGGUUUUUAAAGUCAAAUACAAACCAGAUGGAGAGGUUGAUAGAUAUAAGGCACGCUUAGUUGCUAAAGGGUACAAUCAGAUAGAGGGACUUGAUUUUAAGGAGCGAUUUAGUCCUGUGGCCAACAUAGUCACUGUUAGAAUUUUUAUUGCCCUCGCAACUGUUCAGAAAUGGCCUAUAUAUCAGUUAGACAUUAAUAAUGCUUUUUUGCAUGGUUACUUGGAUGAGGAAGUGUAUAUGAGGCCACCAGAUGGGUACACCAAGGCAUUACCAGGGCGGGUCUGUUUGCUGAAACUGUCCCUUUAUGGUUUAAAACGUGCUUCCUGACAAUGGAACCUUGAGUUUACUUCCUUUUUGCAUUCUUUGGGUUUUCAACAAUCAGUACAUGAUCAUUGUCUCUUUAGCCGAACAGAUUCAGAUGCUUUUCUAGCUCUUUUAAUCUAUGUAGAUGAUGUCAUCAUAACUGGAAACAAUUCACAGGCCAUUGACAAAGUCAAAUCUGCCCUGCAUGAUAAAUUCACUGUCAAAGAACUUGGUUUCAUGAAAUAUUUCCUUGGUUUGG
Molecule: unclassified non-coding RNA, 2509 nt
Filed under: Hevea brasiliensis (rubber tree)
Lineage: Eukaryota; Viridiplantae; Streptophyta; Magnoliopsida; Malpighiales; Euphorbiaceae
Source: RNAcentral